Molecule: transfer RNA, 73 nt
Filed under: Stegodyphus mimosarum
Lineage: Eukaryota; Metazoa; Arthropoda; Arachnida; Araneae; Eresidae
Rfam family: tRNA
About the family: Transfer RNA (tRNA) molecules are approximately 80 nucleotides in length. Their secondary structure includes four short double-helical elements and three loops (D, anti-codon, and T loops). Further hydrogen bonds mediate the characteristic L-shaped molecular structure. tRNAs have two regions of fundamental functional importance: the anti-codon, which is responsible for specific mRNA codon recognition, and the 3' end, to which the tRNAs corresponding amino acid is attached (by aminoacyl-tRNA synthetases). tRNAs cope with the degeneracy of the genetic code in two manners: having more than one tRNA (with a specific anti-codon) for a particular amino acid; and 'wobble' base-pairing, i.e. permitting non-standard base-pairing at the 3rd anti-codon position.
Source: Rfam by way of RNAcentral
GCCUUUGUGGUGUAGUGGUCAGCACGCUGGGCGCGUAUUCCAGAGGUCCGUGGUUCGAAUCCCGGCGAAGGCG